This 346-nucleotide unclassified non-coding RNA is filed under the name soil metagenome. Its description in RNAcentral is "partial contains 5.8S ribosomal RNA, internal transcribed spacer 2, and large subunit ribosomal RNA". The stretch from base 1 to 120 matches the Rfam family "5.8S ribosomal RNA", at positions 35 to 154 of the family's 154-position model. The record is from RNAcentral.
GAUGAAGAACGUAGCGAAAUGCGAUACGUAAUGUGAAUUGCAGAAUUCAGUGAAUCAUCGAGUCUUUGAACGCACAUUGCGCCCCCUGGUAUUCCGGGGGGCAUGCCUGUCCGAGCGUCAUUGCUGCCCUCAAGCCCGGCUUGUGUGUUGGGUCUCGUCCCCCUUCCCGGGGGGACGGGCCCGAAAGGCAGCGGCGGCACCGCGUCCGGUCCUCGAGCGUAUGGGGCUUUGUCACCCGCUCUGUAGGCCCGGCCGGCGCUUGCCGAUCAACCAAAACUUUUUUCCAGGUUGACCUCGGAUCACGUAGGGAUACCCGCUGAACUUAAGCAUAUCAAUAAGCGGAGGA